RNAcentral lists this ribosomal RNA (253 nucleotides) under uncultured bacterium. RNAcentral's name for it is "partial 16S ribosomal RNA". It matches the Rfam family "Bacterial small subunit ribosomal RNA", at positions 524 to 776 of the family's 1533-position model. The record is from RNAcentral.
UACAGAGGUCCCAAGCGUUGUUCGGAUUCACUGGGCGUAAAGGGUGCGUAGGUGGUGAGGUAAGUCGGAUGUGAAAUCUCCGGGCUCAACCCGGAAAUGGCAUUGGAAACUACCUUGCUUGGGGAUUUGAGGGGGGAUUGGAAUACUUGGUGUAGCAGUGAAAUGCGUAGAUAUCAAGUGGAACACCAGUGGCGAAGGCGAAUCCCUGGAAAAUACCUGACACUGAGGCACGAAAGCUAGGGGAGCAAACAGG